UGCAGUCGAGCGCCCUCUUCGGAGGGAGCGGCGGACGGGUUAGUAACGCGUGGGAACGUGCCCAGAUCUAAGGAAUAGCCACUGGAAACGGUGAGUAAUACCUUAUACGCCCUUCGGGGGAAAGAUUUAUCGGAUUUGGAUCGGCCCGCGUUAGAUUAGGUAGUUGGUGGGGUAAUGGCCUACCAAGCCUACGAUCUAUAGCUGGUUUUAGAGGAUGAUCAGCAACACUGGGACUGAGACACGGCCCAGACUCCUACGGGAGGCAGCAGUGGGGAAUAUUGGACAAUGGGCGAAAGCCUGAUCCAGCCAUGCCGCGUGAGUGAAGAAGGCCUUAGGGUUGUAAAACUCUUUCAACGGUGAAGAUAAUGACGGUAACCGUAGAAGAAGCCCCGGCUAAUUUCGUGCCAGCAGCCGCGGUAAUACGAAAGGGGCUAGCGUUGUUCGGAAUUACUGGGCGUAAAGCGCACGUAGGCGGCCUUGUAAGUUGGGGGUGAAAUCCCGGGGCUCAACCCCGGAACUGCCUCCAAAACUACAAAGCUAGAGGAUGUGAGAGGUGAGUGGAAUUCCGAGUGUAGAGGUGAAAUUCGUAGAUAUUCGGAAGAACACCAGUGGCGAAGGCGACUCACUGGCACAUUUCUGACGCUGAGGUGCGAAAGUGUGGGGAGCAAACAGGAUUAGAUACCCUGGUAGUCCACACCGUAAACGAUGAAUGCUAGUUGUUGGCAGGCAUGCCUGUCGGUGACGCAGCUAACGCAUUAA
RNAcentral lists this ribosomal RNA (759 nucleotides) under uncultured bacterium. RNAcentral describes it as "bacterial SSU rRNA". It matches the Rfam family "Bacterial small subunit ribosomal RNA", at positions 56 to 863 of the family's 1533-position model. The record is from RNAcentral.